AUUGAACGCUAGCGGCAUGCUUUACACAUGCAAGUCGAACGAGUGGCGGACGGGUGAGUAAUAUAUCGGAACGUGCCCAGUCGCGGGGGAUAACUACUCGAAAGAGUGGCUAAUCCCGCAUACUAUUGGAACGGCCGAUAUCGGAUUAGCUAGUUGGUGGGGUAAAGGCUCACCAAGGCAACGAUCCGUAGCUGGUUUGAGAGGACGACCAGCCAAACUGGGACUGAGACAAGGCCCAGACUCCUACGGGAGGCAGCAGUAGGGAAUAUGGGACAAUGGGGGAAACCCUGAUCAAGCCAUGCCGCGUGUAUGAGAAGGCCUUCGGGUUGUAAAGUACUUUUGGCAGAGAAGCGGUAUCUGCAGAAUAAGCACAGGCUAACUACGUGCCAGCAGCCGCGGUAAUUC
RNAcentral lists this ribosomal RNA (405 nucleotides) under uncultured bacterium. RNAcentral's name for it is "partial 16S ribosomal RNA". It matches the Rfam family "Bacterial small subunit ribosomal RNA", at positions 30 to 526 of the family's 1533-position model. The record is from RNAcentral.